Molecule: ribosomal RNA, 736 nt
Filed under: Luteipulveratus sp. 5.1.1-B3
Lineage: Bacteria; Bacillati; Actinomycetota; Actinomycetes; Micrococcales; Dermacoccaceae
Description: bacterial SSU rRNA
Rfam family: Bacterial small subunit ribosomal RNA
Source: RNAcentral
UCUGCUGUGAAAGACCGGGGCUUAACUCCGGUUCUGCAGUGGGUACGGGCAGACUAGAGUGUGGUAGGGGAGACUGGAAUUCCUGGUGUAGCGGUGAAAUGCGCAGAUAUCAGGAGGAACACCGAUGGCGAAGGCAGGUCUCUGGGCCACUACUGACGCUGAGAAGCGAAAGCAUGGGGAGCGAACAGGAUUAGAUACCCUGGUAGUCCAUGCCGUAAACGUUGGGAACUAGGUGUGGGCCUCAUUCCACGAGGUCCGUGCCGUAGCUAACGCAUUAAGUUCCCCGCCUGGGGAGUACGGCCGCAAGGCUAAAACUCAAAGGAAUUGACGGGGGCCCGCACAAGCGGCGGAGCAUGCGGAUUAAUUCGAUGCAACGCGAAGAACCUUACCAAGGCUUGACAUACACCGGAAUCAUGCAGAGAUGUGUGAGUCUUCGGACUGGUGUACAGGUGGUGCAUGGUUGUCGUCAGCUCGUGUCGUGAGAUGUUGGGUUAAGUCCCGCAACGAGCGCAACCCUCGUUCCAUGUUGCCAGCACGUAAAGGUGGGGACUCAUGGGAGACUGCCGGGGUCAACUCGGAGGAAGGUGGGGAUGACGUCAAAUCAUCAUGCCCCUUAUGUCUUGGGCUUCACGCAUGCUACAAUGGCCAGUACAGAGGGUUGCGUGACCGUGAGGUGGAGCGAAUCCCUUAAAACUGGUCUCAGUUCGGAUUGGGGUCUGCAACUCGACCCCAUGAA